This 433-nucleotide ribosomal RNA is filed under the name uncultured bacterium. RNAcentral's name for it is "partial 16S ribosomal RNA". It matches the Rfam family "Bacterial small subunit ribosomal RNA", at positions 29 to 507 of the family's 1533-position model. The record is from RNAcentral.
AGCGAACGCUGGCGGCAGGCCUAACACAUGCAAGUCGAACGAACUCUUCGGAGUUAGUGGCGGACGGGUGAGUAACACGUGGGAACGUGCCUUUUGGUUCGGAAUAACUCAGGGAAACUUGUGCUAAUACCGAAUGUGCCCUUCGGGGGAAAGAUUUAUCGCCAUUAGAGCGGCCCGCGUCUGAUUAGCUAGUUGGUGAGGUAACGGCACACCAAGGCGACGAUCAGUAGCUGGUCUGAGAGGAUGACCAGCCACACUGGGACUGAGACACGGCCCAGACUCCGACGGGGGGGAGCAGUGGGGAAUCCAGCGCAAGGGGCGAAAGCCUGACGCAGCCAUGCCGCGUGAAUGAUGAAGGUCUUAGGAUUGUAAAAUUCUUUCACCCGGGACGAUAAUGACGGUACCCGGAGAAGAAGCCCCGGCUAACUUCGUG